This 459-nucleotide ribosomal RNA is filed under the name uncultured bacterium. RNAcentral's name for it is "partial 16S ribosomal RNA". It matches the Rfam family "Bacterial small subunit ribosomal RNA", at positions 338 to 795 of the family's 1533-position model. The record is from RNAcentral.
CCUACGGGUGGCAGCAGUGAGGAAUAUUGGUCAAUGGGCGCGAGCCUGAACCAGCCAAGUCGCGUGAGGGAAGACGGUCCUAUGGAUUGUAACCCUCUUUUGUCGGGGAGCAAAAGACGCCACGCGUGGCGUUCCGAGAGUACCCGACGAAAAAGCAUCGGCUAACUCCGUGCCAGCAGCCGCGGUAAUACGGAGGAUGCGAGCGUUAUCCGGAUUUAUUGGGUUUAAAGGGUGCGCAGGGGGAAGAUCAAGUCAGCGGGAAAAUUGAGAGGCUCAACCUCUUCGAGCCGUUGAAACUGGUUUUCUUGAGUGAGCGAGAAGUAUGCGGAAUGCGUGGUGUAGCGGUGAAAUGCAUAGAUAUCACGAAGAACUCCGAUUGCGAAGGCAGCAUACCGGCGCUCAACUGACGCUCAUGCACGAAAGUGUGGGUAUCGAACAGGAUUAGAUACCCUAGUAGUC